Portunus trituberculatus (swimming crab) is the source of this 1054-nucleotide RNA transcript. It is a transcript of the gene named 60S ribosomal protein L7a-like, with no coding region annotated. The transcript has 5 exons. NCBI's taxonomy places the organism in Eukaryota, Metazoa, Arthropoda, Malacostraca, Decapoda, Portunidae. The record is from RefSeq and is a predicted model, not a curated record.
AGCAACGCGGCUCCGCUGCGGCUGGAAUGUUCAUCCUCCUUUCUACUCGUGACCAUUAAGGUGAGAGGACGUGCUCCGGGUUUCUCCUCUCCACGUGCCUUCAUUCCCUCAUUCUCGGGUAGUGAAGAGCUACAAGAUGGUGCAAAAGAAGCCACCGAGCUGUUCCGCCUCCUGGAGAAAUAACGCCCUGAGAGCAAGGCUGCCUAGAGGGAGAGGCCGAGGAAGCGUGCUGCCGGUAAGCCAGACAUGCCAGCCAAGCGCAAGAUUCAGGUGCGCCAGGGAGCAAACGACGUGGUGACGCUGGUGGAGCAGAAGGCGGCGCGGCUGGUGUAAUUCAAUGUUAGAUCUGCUGCAGUCUCUGACGAGACAGCCAGACGUUACCCUACGGAACGAGCUCAGAGCUCAUUAUUUACGAUCUUCGGAUAGGCCUGAGACCAGGCACACACCACACACCGGGACAACAAGGUCACAACUCCUAGAUUUACAUUGUGUGCAUUGCCAACGAUGUUGAGGUCAUUGAGGUGGUACUGUUCCUGCCUGCCCUGUUUUGCAAGAUGGGCAUUCAUGAAGAACAAGUCUCACCUGGGCACUGUGGUCAGCAGGAAGAAAGCUGCCUGUAUGGCUAUCACUGAUGUUGAGGCAAAUGACAGGAGUCCAUCAAGACCAACUACAAUGACUGCUUUGAUGACAUCAGGAAGAAAUGGGGUGGUAGUCCAUUGGGAGCCAAGUUUGCCUCCAGGAUUGCCAAGCUGGAGCAAGCCAAAGUGCUAUUCCUGCCUGCCCUGUGUCGGAAGAUGGGCAUUCCUAACUGCAUCGUGAAGAACAAGAACCUGGGCAGGAGGAAGAAGGUUGCCUGUGUGGCUAUCACUGAUGUCGAGGCAAAUUACAGCAGUACAUCAAGACCAACUACCACGACCACUUUGACGAGAUCAGGAAGAACGGGCGGUGGUUCAUUGGCGCCAAGUCUGCCUCCAGGAUUGCCAAGGUGCUGUUCCUGCCUGCCCUGUGUCAAAAGAUGGGCAUUCUUUUCUGCAUUAUGAACAAGUCUUGCCUG